UAAGCAAGUCUUGGUUGCGCAAGUAAAAACGUCGAGGUUAUAAUAACCGGAAACCAAAAUUUAGCAUUUGCUUAAGAAAAAGCAAAAACCAAACUAGAAAAUUUCUUGCGUUUUCUAGGGCGGCACAUUUAAGUAAGAUAUAUUAGUUUGGAUGCUAAUAAAAACUAACGAACUUUAAUUAGCUAGCUAAUCUUUAUUUUGAGUAUUUAAUAAACUUAGCAAAAUAAACUAAAUACUAUAAACUUGUAGAAAGUAAUCUCUUAUGUGCUUCGUACAGGGGUUCAAAUCCCCUCAUCUCCACCA
Molecule: transfer-messenger RNA, 303 nt
Filed under: Acholeplasmataceae bacterium
Lineage: Bacteria; Bacillati; Mycoplasmatota; Mollicutes; Acholeplasmatales; Acholeplasmataceae
Description: partial transfer-messenger RNA
Rfam family: transfer-messenger RNA
About the family: Bacterial tmRNA, also known as 10Sa RNA or SsrA, is named for its dual tRNA and mRNA-like properties. Its role is to liberate the mRNA from a stalled ribosome.
Source: RNAcentral